CCAAUAAACCUAGCCCACCUAACCACCACCCACACCCCCCCCUUACAAAUUAAAAUAUUUUAUUUUGCCUAGUACAGACGAUCAAAAAGUUAAUUGGAGCAAUAAAUAUGUACCGCAAGGGAAUGAUGAAAUAAAAAUGAAAUAACACUUAAGCAUAAAAAAGUAAAGAUUUACCCUUGUACCUUUUGCAUCAUGGUUUAACUAGUCUAAUUAGGCAAAAAGAUUUAUAGUCUAACCCCCCGAAACUGAGUGAGCUACUUUAGGACAGCUUAAUGAGCAAACCCGUCUCUGUUGCAGAAGAGUGGGGAGAUCUUAAAGUAGAGAUGAUAUAUCUAGCAAACUUAGCGAUAGCUGGUUAUUCAGGAAAAGAAUUUUAGUUCAACCUAAAGUUAAUUUAAUUAUAUUAAAUAUAGACUUAACUUUAGAGCUACUCAAAUAAGUAACAGCCUAUUUGAGACAGGAUACAGCCUCCACUUACGGGUAACAACAGCCUUACAAUAACCAAGUAGGCCUAAAAGCAGCCACCUUUAAAAAAGCGUCAAAGCUUCACUGCUAAAGACAAUAAUUGUUUAAAUUUUUAAGAACCCUACAACAGUACUGAAUGAUCCAAUAAUUCUAUAGGACCCCCUAUGUUAAAACUAGUAAUCAAGAAGCCACCUUCUCUUAUAUGCAAAUGUAGGCCAGAACGGAAAACUCACUGACACCUAAUAAUCAUAAACUAAAGUUAUACCUUAUCUAGAAGACCUAACUUUAAUAGCUAUUAACCUUACACAAGAGCAUUAAAAGAAAGAUUAAAAGAAAAAGAAGGAACUCGGCAAACUCUAAUUCCGCCUGUUUACCAAAAACAUCGCCUCCUGCUAAUCUAUAGGAGGUCCAGCCUGCCCAGUGACCUAGUUUAACGGCCGCGGUAUCCUAACCGUGCGAAGGUAGCGUAAUCACCUGUUUUUUAAUUGAAGACCUGUAUGAAAGGCAUCACGAGAAUAGCACUGUCUCCUUUUUCUAAUCAGUAAAACUAAUCUCCCCGUGAAAAAGCGGGGAUACUCACACAAGACGAGAAGACCCUUUGGAGCUUAAGACAAAGUAAUAUAUUGCAAACAUUUUUCCACAUCUAUUUACAAGUCUUUGGUUGGGGCAACCACGGAGCAAAAAGAAACCUCCAAGUUGAACGGAAUAUUCCUAAACAAAAAGCCACAUCUUCAUGUAUUAAUAAAUUAACAAUCGACCCAAUACUUUGAUUAUCGAACUAAGUUACCCCAGGGAUAACAGCGCAAUCCACUUCAAGAGUUCAUAUCGACAAGCGGGCUUACGACCUCGAUGUUGGAUCAAGGUAUCCCAGUGGUGCAGCCGCUACUAAAGGUUCGUUUGUUCAACGAUUAAAACCUCACGUGAUCUGAGUUCAGACCGGAGCAAUCCAGGUCAGUUUCUAUCUGUAAUUAGAGCUAUUUCCAGUACGAAAGGACAGAAAUAGCGCGGUCAAUAAGACACUUACACCGCCUAAACAACUUAUGACCAUCACU
This 1517-nucleotide ribosomal RNA is filed under the name Eleutherodactylus unicolor (dull robber frog). RNAcentral describes it as "partial 16S ribosomal RNA". It matches the Rfam family "Bacterial large subunit ribosomal RNA", at positions 372 to 2782 of the family's 2925-position model. The record is from RNAcentral. Lineage: Eukaryota; Metazoa; Chordata; Amphibia; Anura; Eleutherodactylidae.